AUACGUAGGUGGCAAGCGUUGUCCGGAAUUACUGGGUGUAAAGGGUGCGCAGGCGGGACUGCAAGUUGGGUGUGAAAACUAUGGGCUUAACCCAUAGCCUGCAUCCAAAACUGUGGUUCUUGAGUGGAGUAGAGGCAGGCGGAAUUCCGAGUGUAGCGGUGAAAUGCGUAGAUAUUCGGAGGAACACCAGUGGCGAAGGCGGCCUGCUGGGCUCUAACUGACGCUGAGGCACGAAAGCAUGGGGAGC
RNAcentral lists this ribosomal RNA (247 nucleotides) under uncultured bacterium. RNAcentral's name for it is "partial 16S ribosomal RNA". It matches the Rfam family "Bacterial small subunit ribosomal RNA", at positions 523 to 769 of the family's 1533-position model. The record is from RNAcentral.